UACAGAGGGUGCGAGCGUUGUCCGGAAUCACUGGGCGUAAAGGGCGCGUAGGUGGCGACCCAAGUCCAUGGUGAAAGCUCGAUGCUCAACAUCGAGUCGGCCACGGAUACUGGGUUGCUGGAGCACUGUAGAGGCAGAUGGAAUUCCGGGUGUAGCGGUGGAAUGCGUAGAGAUCCGGAAGAACACCAGUGGCGAAGGCGGCCUGCUGGGCAGUUGCUGACGCUGAGGCGCGACAGCGUGGGGAGCAAACAGG
Molecule: ribosomal RNA, 253 nt
Filed under: uncultured bacterium
Lineage: Bacteria
Description: partial 16S ribosomal RNA
Rfam family: Bacterial small subunit ribosomal RNA
Source: RNAcentral